Xyrichtys novacula (pearly razorfish) is the source of this 372-nucleotide non-coding RNA. The record is from the annotation of a GenBank genome assembly. NCBI's taxonomy places the organism in Eukaryota, Metazoa, Chordata, Actinopteri, Labriformes, Labridae.
AGUCCAUAAUGGACUGGCCUGAGGUCUCCCUACAAACAAGCGUCUGCUGGAAGAGAGUAGGUGAGUUGUGUUUAGUCUCUUUGCUAAACAAAUGAGUCAAAGUUAAAAAGAUGUUUGGUGUCUAGUACUAUGUCUGUGACCCUAUAUGUCCUGUUGAUGAAGUUAGGUGCUGUUCUGAGCAUUAUUUGUGGCUAUAGAGUGGCGUUUUGGUUGAGGGCGUGGCUCUCUGUAUUGCUAUCCUGCGGUCGUUACUAAAGUUGGUAUAACUAGAGAAGCAAGCGGUCGGCAACAUUCAUCUCUGGAGGGGGGGUCUAACUCUGUGUUACGGUGGGUUUGACCUUAAAUUAAUUUUACGCCGGAAUAUCCCUUUAA